This is a non-coding RNA of Cajanus cajan (pigeon pea), 488 nucleotides long. The record is from RefSeq and is a predicted model, not a curated record. NCBI's taxonomy places the organism in Eukaryota, Viridiplantae, Streptophyta, Magnoliopsida, Fabales, Fabaceae.
UUUAUUAUUUAUGACUGCAGGUUCUUUAUAAAUACUAGGAUUUAUACAUGCUUAUGCGCAUCAAUAAUGGGUAGGAUAUUACCCUGAGAUUGUUAAUAUUUCCAAUUCUAGGCUUGGAUUGCAGGAUUGCUUGUAAGUGCAUGAUGGAUUUUCCUGCAUAUAGAAUAGUUUGAAUUGUUGUUAUUUUUGUCCAUAGAAACUGAAGGGGGAUAAGCCCAGACUCAGAAUAUUGUGGGGUGGUGCAAUACAAGAUAUGCACAAGAUUGUUUUGAUGUCUUUUAUAUACAGUGUGGAAGGGAAAGAUGAAAAAGGCAAGGAUAUCUGAAAAAUGAAAUACAAAUAAAUAUCUAGUUCUGAAGUGUGAUCCUUUGUGGGAACCAAUUGUAAUUGAAGAAACCAUCAAGAUAAGAUUCGUAACAGCUAGCCUAGCCACUAAUGGUUGCUUUUUCUUAAUUUCCAUGGCAGGGAUCAAUUCCCACUUUCUUGUC